GGCAAUGGAGCCCAGUGGUCCUGACCACAAGAAUCGGACCAUCUCAUCUCCUCCUCCUCUUUUUGUUGAAUAGACUCCUCAACCACUUUUGCAAAAUACCCAGCCGUUAAAAAAGGUUCCCUAAGGCCGGUGCAUAACUUUCCUACGAAAUUUAUAUGCUUUUGCAUAAAAGCCUUUGUGAAAAGCAAACACAAACUUUUUUCCUUUGAUAUUGAAGCUGAUGGAGGCCGACUAGUCCCAUGACUUCCCCAUUUUGUCCUUUCUCCCUUAUAAUCCACCAAGUGGUUUUACUAAU
Molecule: long non-coding RNA, 295 nt
Filed under: Durio zibethinus
Lineage: Eukaryota; Viridiplantae; Streptophyta; Magnoliopsida; Malvales; Malvaceae
Description: long non-coding RNA (DZIB_LNC001876)
Source: RNAcentral